GGCUCAGGAUGAACGCUAGCGGCAGGCUUAACACAUGCAAGUCGAGGGGCAUCGGGAGUAGCAAUACUUGCCGGCGACCGGCGCAAGGGUGCGUAACGCGUGAGCAACAUGCCCGUAUCAGGGGGAUAAUCCAUGGAAACGUGGUCUAAUACCCCAUAGUAAUUAUGUAAGGCAUCUUAUAUAAUUUAAAGCUUUGGUGGAUACGGAUUGGCUCGCGUGACAUUAGCUAGAUGGUAAGGUAACGGCUUACCAUGGCUACGAUGUCUAGGGGUUCUGAGAGGAAGGUCCCCCCACACUGGAACUGAGACACGGUCCAGACUCCUACGGGAGGCAGCAGUGAGGAAUAUUGGACAAUGGAUGGAAAUCUGAUCCAGCCAUGCCGCGUGCAGGAAAGACGGCCCUAUGGGUUGUAAACUGCUUUUGUAUGGGAGCAAUAAGGGCUACGCGUAGUCCGAUGAGAGUACCAUACGAAUAAGCACCGGCUAACUCCGUGCCAGCCGCUGC
This 504-nucleotide ribosomal RNA is filed under the name uncultured bacterium. RNAcentral describes it as "bacterial SSU rRNA". It matches the Rfam family "Bacterial small subunit ribosomal RNA", at positions 21 to 518 of the family's 1533-position model. The record is from RNAcentral.